RNAcentral lists this transfer RNA (80 nucleotides) under Chroomonas placoidea. RNAcentral describes it as "tRNA-Leu". It matches the Rfam family "tRNA". From Rfam's summary of the family: Transfer RNA (tRNA) molecules are approximately 80 nucleotides in length. Their secondary structure includes four short double-helical elements and three loops (D, anti-codon, and T loops). Further hydrogen bonds mediate the characteristic L-shaped molecular structure. tRNAs have two regions of fundamental functional importance: the anti-codon, which is responsible for specific mRNA codon recognition, and the 3' end, to which the tRNAs corresponding amino acid is attached (by aminoacyl-tRNA synthetases). tRNAs cope with the degeneracy of the genetic code in two manners: having more than one tRNA (with a specific anti-codon) for a particular amino acid; and 'wobble' base-pairing, i.e. permitting non-standard base-pairing at the 3rd anti-codon position. Lineage: Eukaryota; Cryptophyceae; Pyrenomonadales; Chroomonadaceae. The record is from RNAcentral.
ACAGAAGUGGCGAAAUUGGUAAACGCGUUACCUUGAGAUGGUAAUCCACAUUUUUAAGGGUUCAAGUCCCUUCUUCUGUA